GAUGAAGAACGCAGCGAAAUGCGAUAAGUAAUGUGAAUUGCAGAAUUCAGUGAAUCAUCGAAUCUUUGAACGCACAUUGCGCCCGGCAGUACUCUGCCGGGCAUGCCUGUUCGAGCGUCAUUACAACCCUCAGGCCCCCGGGCCUGGCGUUGGGGAUCGGCGGAAGCCCCCUGCGGGCACAACGCCGUCCCCCAAAUACAGUGGCGGUCCCGCCGCAGCUUCCAUUGCGUAGUAGCUAACACCUCGCAACUGGAGAGCGGCGCGGCCACGCCGUAAAACACCCAACUUCUGAAUGUUGACCUCGAAUCAGGUAGGAAUACCCGCUGAACUUAAGCAUAUCAAUAAGCGGAGGA
This 353-nucleotide unclassified non-coding RNA is filed under the name soil metagenome. RNAcentral's name for it is "partial contains 5.8S ribosomal RNA, internal transcribed spacer 2, and large subunit ribosomal RNA". The stretch from base 1 to 120 matches the Rfam family "5.8S ribosomal RNA", at positions 35 to 154 of the family's 154-position model. The record is from RNAcentral.